Molecule: small RNA, 131 nt
Filed under: Salmonella enterica
Lineage: Bacteria; Pseudomonadati; Pseudomonadota; Gammaproteobacteria; Enterobacterales; Enterobacteriaceae
Also listed under: 2 other names
Description: RtT sRNA
Rfam family: RtT RNA
About the family: This family represents a bacterial cis-regulatory element known as RtT RNA. The exact function of RtT is unknown although it is thought that it may be involved in changing the cellular response in relation to amino acid starvation.
Source: RNAcentral
AUAUCUUUCUGUACGGGAAGGAUGAGAAGCUUCGACUAAGGUUCGAUUCGAGCGCAGCGAGAAAGCGUUGCCGCAGGCAACGGCCCGAAGGGCGAAGCGCGCAGCGCUGAGUAAUCCUUCCCCCACCACCA